This is an RNA transcript of Rhagoletis zephyria (snowberry fruit fly), 732 nucleotides long. It is a transcript of the gene named ciliogenesis-associated TTC17-interacting protein-like, with no coding region annotated. Lineage: Eukaryota; Metazoa; Arthropoda; Insecta; Diptera; Tephritidae. The record is from RefSeq and is a predicted model, not a curated record.
CUGGCUGUGUGCCGCAUGGUGCUCGGUAACUUGCGGCCAAGGCUUGCAAAUGCGUGGCGUUGAAUGCAAAUCAUCCACCGGCAGUGCCGCCCACUUGGGAGACCCGCAUCCGUGCAGCCAUACGCGACGGGCAACUCUUAUGAUGGCGGUGGUACAGUUAUACUCGGCAGCAGCGGGCCACUCGCAGCGUCUGCGCCAUACCUUACCUUCCCUUCUCUAGCAGUUCGAUGAUGGUGAUCUCGACGUGGAGGAGGAUGAGGACAAUGAUGAUUCUGCGGAUGUUGACGAUGUCGACGACGAAGGCGUUGACGAAGCUGGCGAUGCCGGCAAUGAUAAUGCCGGUUUAGUGUUAUACAUACAACGAUGAUUCCGCACCGCAGUACGCACAUCGCUCGAUCAGUCAUUUGCAUCAUGAUGAGCUGCAACAGCCGCGUGCCGAACGCCUUACUAGCGGUGGUGUUGGAUAUGGUUAUCGCAGUAAAUCGGAUCCAGAAGCGCAGGUGCCUGCUGGCGUUCCAAGAUAUGUCUUUUCACAUAGAACCCGUCAAAAUAUGGAACCUCAUCUAAAUAGAGAAUACUAGUGAACCCGCAUGGCGUUGAAACGCCAAAAUUGAAUUUAACUUUUUAAACAGGUGAAAGCCUAUUCAAAAACCUCAACAAGAAUCCGAGUUCUUUAACUUGACUUCUCAUUUUGGAAAUUCGAAAUAACGUUGCUGAUGUGAUGACCUUCAA